Molecule: long non-coding RNA, 918 nt
Organism: Rattus norvegicus (Norway rat)
Lineage: Eukaryota; Metazoa; Chordata; Mammalia; Rodentia; Muridae
Source: RefSeq, a predicted model, not a curated record
UAAGCUUGGGAGUAACUUACACUGUGUCAAGUGGUAAGACCACUAACGAUGGGGGAGUUCAUUCGUGCAGCUGCUCCGUCCCAGAGGGAAAAGAAGAGAGUACCCGCCAGAUGCAGAACACCUGGGUGUGCCAAGCGUUCCCAGCACAGGGUGGCCUUGGAAGCCAGAAGAGGGCAUCUGGUCCCCGGAGCUGGAGUCAUAGGAAGUUGUGAACCACCCGAGAUGAAAACUGGGAAGCAAACUCUGAUCCUCUGUAAGAGCAGAAAGCACUCUUGACUGACAAGCCCUCUAUCCAGCCUCUGUAUAAUAUUUCAAAGAAGUAAAGAAAUUAACAAAUCUGGUAUCCGAACACUCAUCAUCCAGAGCUGUGGCGUCCUGACAUUUAUAUUUCUACUGCAUCUUCCUACUGUAUAAUGUAUUUGAAAUUCUGUACCUAUUACAUGUCAUCGAACUUCAUGUAAGAUGUGUCAUACCUACCCUGCCAGAGAGGUGGCUCAGCAUUUGGGGGCAUUUGCUAUAGCAGAAGACCACAGUUUGGUUCUCAGCACCCGGACAGUCUCCAGUGCUGUCCUGUCAUCCUAUUGGGAAGAAGUCCUGUAUCCAAGUACCUGAGUUCACCUACCAGUCUUCUGAGAGAUGAGCACACUCAUUUUUUAUCUUGAGUUUUGUCUCCGAUUCUGUCCGAUAGCACUUUCAAUGGGAGUCACCUAAGUGAAGCAGGUAAAAUGUUACCCUCUCCUUAUGUGAUUUCUUUUUUUACAUCCUGUUUAAGAAAUCUUUUGGGGCUGGGAAGAUGGGCCAUUAGUUAAGAGACCUUGUCACUCUUGAGGAGGACCAGGGCUCAAUUCUCAACACCCACACGGUGACUCACAACCAUCCACAACUCCAGUUCCAGGGGACCUGACACUCUCUUCUGAC